RNAcentral lists this ribosomal RNA (253 nucleotides) under uncultured bacterium. Its description in RNAcentral is "partial 16S ribosomal RNA". It matches the Rfam family "Bacterial small subunit ribosomal RNA", at positions 524 to 776 of the family's 1533-position model. The record is from RNAcentral.
GACAGAGGUGGCGAGCGUUGUCCGGAGUCACUGGGCGUAAAGCGCGCGCAGGCGGUGACCUAAGUGUCGUGUGAAAGCCCCCGGCUCAACUGGGGGAGGCCACGGCAGACUGGGUCGCUCGAGCUGCGGAGAGGCCCCUCGAAUUGCCGGUGUAGCGGUGAAAUGCGCAGAGAUCGGCAGGAAGACAAAGGGGGAAGCCAGGGGGCUGGCCGCAUGCUGACGCUGAGGCGCGACAGCGUGGGGAGUAAACCGG